GACGAAUGCUGGCGGCGUGCUUAACACAUGCAAGUCGAGCGGUAAGGCCCUUUCGGGGGUACACGAGCGGCGAACGGGUGAGUAACACGUGGGUGACCUGCCCUCAGCUCUGGGAUAAGCCUGGGAAACUGGGUCUAAUACUGGAUAUGACUCCACGGUGCAUGUCGUGGGGUGGAAAGCCUUGUGCGGCUGAGGAUGGGCCCGCGGCCUAUCAGCUUGUUGGUGGGGUGAUGGCCUACCAAGGCGACGACGGGUAGCCGGCCUGAGAGGGCGACCGGCCACACUGGGACUGAGACACGGCCCAGACUCCUACGGGAGGCAGCAGUGGGGAAUCUUGCGCAAUGGGCGAAAGCCUGACGCAGCGACGCCGCGUGAGGGAUGACGGCCU
This 388-nucleotide ribosomal RNA is filed under the name uncultured bacterium. RNAcentral describes it as "bacterial SSU rRNA". It matches the Rfam family "Bacterial small subunit ribosomal RNA", at positions 28 to 417 of the family's 1533-position model. The record is from RNAcentral.